This 654-nucleotide ribosomal RNA is filed under the name uncultured bacterium. RNAcentral's name for it is "bacterial SSU rRNA". It matches the Rfam family "Bacterial small subunit ribosomal RNA", at positions 28 to 658 of the family's 1533-position model. The record is from RNAcentral.
GGCGAACGCUGGCGGCGUGCCUAAAACAUGCAAGUCGAGCGGGGGUUGGCCGCGGGGCAACCCGCGGUUUCAGCUCUAGCGGCGAACGGGUGAGUAACACGUGGGUUACCUGCCCCGAAGACGGGGAUAACCUCGGGAAACCGGGGCUAAUACCCGAUACCCCCCUCCGGGGGCAUCCCUGGGGGAGGAAAGGGUUGGGCGCAAGCCCUUCCGCUUCGGGAUGGGCCCGCGGCCUAUCAGCUUGUUGGUGGGGUAACGGCCCACCAAGGCGAUGACGGGUAGCUGGCCUGAGAGGGUGGUCAGCCACACUGGGACUGAGACACGGCCCAGACUCCUACGGGAGGCAGCAGUUGGGAAUCUUGGGCAAUGGGCGCAAGCCUGACCCAGCGACGCCGCGUGGGGGAUGAAGGCCUUCGGGUUGUAAACCCCUGUCAGGAGGGACGAAGCCCACUCCUGGAGGGUGGGUGACGGUACCUCCAGAGGAAGCCCCGGCUAACUACGUGCCAGCAGCCGCGGUAAGACGUAGGGGGCGAGCGUUGCCCGGAUUUACUGGGCGUAAAGCGGGUGUAGGCGGCCGGGUAAGUCCCGUGUGAAAGCCCACGGCUCAACCGUGGGACGUCGCGGGAAACUGCCCGGCUUGAGGGCAGCAGAGGG